AAAUACGAGUAAAUGUAUUAAAAGUGGAGUUCGAGAGGUAUUGUUAUGCAUGAUAUCCAAAUUCCAAGAAGAAAAGAAGCUGAAUUCUACCAAAAACAAGAUUGUUUACGUGUGGUGUUGAAUUUCUUAGGAAAUCUGGAGGAUGUAGGAGGAGUCAAUGCAAUAGUGAUAACUAUUGGUGUAAGUGUAAUAUCAAUACACAGAAUAAAAAUGGCUGAUUAUCACCAUGAUAUGAAUGCUGCCAACUUCAAUAAGAAAAGCUCCUACCCAAUUUAAAUGAUCUAAGUGUAAUUGUUAUGGACAAUGCCAGUUACCAUUCCGUUAUAGUAAAUAAAGCCCCUACGACACAGAAUCGAAAUCUUGAGAUAAGAGAAUGGCUGACUUUGAAUAAUAUUCAAUUUGUUGAGUACCAUACGAAAGCAGAACUGCUAUGUCUAGUAAAACGGUAUAAACCAGAGCUAAUACAUGAAGUUCAUCAGCUUCAUAUUUUAAAGCACAAUGGUCAUGAGGGAUAGAGACUACCUCCAUACUAUUGUGAUCUAAAUGCCAUUGAGCUGGUAUGGAUGGAUGGCCUAGCAAAAUGCAGAGAAGCAAAUAAAAAUAUUACAUUCACUACAGAGCAGUUAGAACAAGUGAUUUAAGAGUUAUUUAAAAAUGGAACAAAAGUAGAGUGGAAGAAAAUGAUUGAUCAUGUUGGACAUGUGAAAAUAAAUAUAGAGAAAGGGACAGGAGGAACAUUUAGAAAGUUUAAUAAUCAAUGUGAGAGACAGUGAUAACAGCAAUGACUCUGAUGAAUCUAUGCAUAUUGAUUUUUUGGAUUCUGAUUUUGAUUAUUCCGAAUAAAGUUGUCUUAUAAUA
Molecule: long non-coding RNA, 858 nt
Organism: Pieris brassicae (large cabbage white)
Lineage: Eukaryota; Metazoa; Arthropoda; Insecta; Lepidoptera; Pieridae
Exons: 3
Source: RefSeq, a predicted model, not a curated record